This 460-nucleotide ribosomal RNA is filed under the name uncultured bacterium. RNAcentral's name for it is "partial 16S ribosomal RNA". It matches the Rfam family "Bacterial small subunit ribosomal RNA", at positions 338 to 795 of the family's 1533-position model. The record is from RNAcentral.
CCUACGGGAGGCUGCAGUGAGGAAUAUUGGUCAAUGGGCGAGAGCCUGAACCAGCCAAGUCGCGUGAAGGAUGACGGCCCUACGGGUUGUAAACUUCUUUUGUCAGGGAGCAAUUGAGUCCACGUGUGGUCUUAGCGAGAGUACCUGAAGAAAAAGCAUCGGCUAACUCCGUGCCAGCAGCCGCGGUAAUACGGGGGAUGCGAGCGUUAUCCGGAGUUAUUGGGUUUAAAGGGUGCGUAGGCGGAAUGCCAAGUCAGCGGUAAAAUCGCGGGGCUCAACCUCGCUCCGCCGUUGAAACUGGCGUUCUUGAGUGGGCGAGAAGUAUGCGGAAUGCGUGGUGUAGCGGUGAAAUGCAUAGAUAUCACGCAGAACUCCGAUUGCGAAGGCAGCAUACCGGCGCCCAACUGACGCUGAAGCACGAAAGCGUGGGUAUCGAACAGGAUUAGAUACCCGGGUAGUC